This 253-nucleotide ribosomal RNA is filed under the name uncultured bacterium. RNAcentral describes it as "partial 16S ribosomal RNA". It matches the Rfam family "Bacterial small subunit ribosomal RNA", at positions 524 to 776 of the family's 1533-position model. The record is from RNAcentral.
UACGGGGGGGGCAAGCGUUGUUCGGAAUUACUGGGCGUAAAGGGCUCGUAGGCGGCCAACUAAGUCAGACGUGAAAUCCCUCGGCUUAACCGGGGAACUGCAUCUGAUACUGGAUGGCUUGAGAUUGGGAGAGGGAUGCGGAAUUCCAGGUGUAGCGGUGAAAUGCGUAGAUAUCUGGAGGAACACCGGUGGCGAAGGCGGCAUCCUGGACCGGUAUUGACGCUGAGGCGCGAAAGCCAGGGGAGCGAACGGG